Molecule: ribosomal RNA, 413 nt
Filed under: uncultured prokaryote
Description: bacterial SSU rRNA
Rfam family: Bacterial small subunit ribosomal RNA
Source: RNAcentral
GUGUCAGCCGCCGCGGUAAUACGUAGGGGGCAAACGUUGCUCGGAAUUACUGGGCGUAAAGGGUGUGUAGGUGGCUGAGUAAGUCAAAGAUGAAAUCCCGAGGCUCAACUUCGGAAUGGUCUUUGAUACUGUUUAGCUUGAGGAUAGUUGAAGAGAAUGGAAUUCCCGGUGGAGCGGUGAAAUGCGUAGAUAUCGGGAGGAACACCUGAGGCGAAGGCGAUUCUCUAAGCUACUCCUGACACUGAAACACGAAAGCUAGGGGAGCAAACGGGAUUAGAUACCCCGGUAGUCCUAGCCAUAAACGAUGGACACUAGAUAUUCCUGCGUUUAUGUGGGAGUGUCGAAGCUAACGCGUUAAGUGUCCCGCCUGGGGAGUACGGUCGCAAGGCUGAAACUCAAAUGAAUUGACGGGG